AGAGUUUGAUCCUGGCUCAGGAUGAACGCUAGCUACAGGCUUAACACAUGCAAGUCGAGGGGCAGCAUGACGAUAGCUUGCUAUUGUUGAUGGCGACCGGCGCACGGGUGAGUAACGCGUAUCCAACCUGCCCUUGUCCAUCGGAUAACCCGUCGAAAGGCGGCCUAACACGAUAUGCAGUUCUCAGCAGGCAUCUAACGAGAACGAAAUGUGAAGGAGAAGGAUGGGGAUGCGUCUGAUUAGCUUGUUGGCGGGGUAACGGCCCACCAAGGCGACGAUCAGUAGGGGUUCUGAGAGGAAGGUCCCCCACAUUGGAACUGAGACACGGUCCAAACUCCUACGGGAGGCAGCAGUGAGGAAUAUUGGUCAAUGGGCGAGAGCCUGAACCAGCCAAGUAGCGUGCAGGAUGACGGCCCUAUGGGUUGUAAACUGCUUUUAUGCAGGGAUAAAGUGAGCCACGUGUGGCUUAUUGCAGGUACCGCAUGAAUAAGGACCGGCUAAUUCCGUGCCAGCAGCCGCGGUAAUACGGAAGGUCCGGGCGUUAUCCGGAUUUAUUGGGUUUAAAGGGAGCGUAGGCCGGAGAUUAAGCGUGUUGUGAAAUGUAGAUGCUCAACAUCUGCACUGCAGCGCGAACUGGUUUCCUUGAGUACGCACAAAGUGGGCGGAAUUCGUGGUGUAGCGGUGAAAUGCUUAGAUAUCACGAAGAACUCCGAUUGCGAAGGCAGCUCACUGGAGCGCAACUGACGCUGAAGCUCGAAAGUGCGGGUAUCGAACAGGAUUAGAUACCCUGGUAGUCCGCACGGUAAACGAUGGAUGCCCGCUGUUGGUCUGAAUAGGUCAGCGGCCAAGCGG
This 852-nucleotide ribosomal RNA is filed under the name uncultured bacterium. RNAcentral describes it as "bacterial SSU rRNA". It matches the Rfam family "Bacterial small subunit ribosomal RNA", at positions 8 to 854 of the family's 1533-position model. The record is from RNAcentral.